UAGUUUCUAGAAUCAUGCGGACGAAUUACCACCACGAAAAUGCCCCACACCACAAAGAUAGCGUCAAAUGAGCUAACGGAUUGUUCACGAUGAUUUGGGGUCAUUCUUCAAGAGCUUUGAACAAUGUGGUUAGGGAGGGUGUGCCGCCGCCCUCAUGCGAGAAAAACUGAUUCCGAGGAGAUAAAACCAGACUCCAGCCCCUCUCUACAGCCAUAACCAGGACUCUUACUUCGGAUACUUUGGAGAGAUUCGUAGAUUCCCCUACUGGGUCAUUGAAUAGUUCGACCGCCUUAUUCAUACCCCAGUCCAGCAAAGAAUUUCCAUUAGGGCAGCUGUAGUUGUUUACAGACUCCUGACUUACAAUCACACGAAACUCCGGAUUUAGCAUCAGGUAAAGAUCGUUACAUGACGAUGAGGACUAUUUCCUCCUUUCUCCUCACACUCCUCUCCUCCCUGCUCCUUAUUUCCGUGUCCUGCCUCCCCACAAGAGAUAUAAAACCUACCAGUGAGAGCCCAGUGACGUCAUACUUCAGCACUACUCCUGGAAAUACAGAAACACAUUGCAUGUCACCUGAAGGAGAGAUGGUUGCAGAAGGAGACCUCCUGUUUGAAGACUGUGAGGUCAGAUGUUACUGCGUCUCCGGAGGGGAGUCCUGCAUUAACCGGUGUGGUCGACCCUUCCCGCCACCUCACUGUCGACUUCCCAGACUGGUUCCUGAUCCUCACGACCGCUGUUGUAAAGUUUUCAGGUGUUUUGACAGGGAGAUAAGUUAAAGGACUCUUCCGGAGUUUAUUGAAAAGUUUGAUGACUCUUUCAGUUUGUCCAACUUGUUUGAGAUAUCUUGUUUAAGGAUUUUGUUUUUGAGGGUUUAUUGUUAUUUUUGAGUUCUUGAAUUAUGGUUUUGUUGAAAUAUUUCUUUUGAA
Long non-coding RNA from Bolinopsis microptera, 924 nucleotides. RefSeq lists it as uncharacterized. NCBI's taxonomy places the organism in Eukaryota, Metazoa, Ctenophora, Tentaculata, Lobata, Bolinopsidae. The transcript is spliced from 4 exons. The record is from RefSeq and is a predicted model, not a curated record.